RNAcentral lists this ribosomal RNA (478 nucleotides) under uncultured bacterium. RNAcentral's name for it is "partial 16S ribosomal RNA". It matches the Rfam family "Bacterial small subunit ribosomal RNA", at positions 29 to 507 of the family's 1533-position model. The record is from RNAcentral.
ACGAACGCUGGCGGCGUGCUUAACACAUGCAAGUCGCACGAAGCUCGCUUACGGAUCCUUCGGAUGAAGUAUGAUAUGACUGAGUGGCGGACGGGUGAGUAACGCGUGAGUAACCUGCCCUUCAGAGGGGGAUAGCGUUUGGAAACGAACGGUAAUACCGCAUAAUGUAUUUUCACCGCAUCAUCGAAAUUCCAAAGAUUUAUUGCUGGAGGAUGGACUGGCGUCUGAUUAGGUAGUUGGUGGGGUAACGGCCUACCAAGCCGACGAUCAGUAGCCGGACUGAGGGGUUGCUCGGCCACAUUGGGACUGAGACACGGCCCGGACACCUACGGGAGGCAGCAGUGGGGAAUAUUGAACAAUGGGCGCAAGCCUGAUACGGCAACGCCGCGUGAAGGAAGACGGUUUUCGGAUUGUAAACUUCUGUCCUUAGUGAAGAAUAAUGACGGUAGCUAAGGAGCAAGCCACGGCUAACUACGUG